Non-coding RNA from Danio rerio (zebrafish), 70 nucleotides. The record is from Rfam. Lineage: Eukaryota; Metazoa; Chordata; Actinopteri; Cypriniformes; Danionidae.
GCCUCCCGUGCCUACUGAGCUGAUUACAGUACUGUGCAAACACUGGCUCAGUUCAGCAGGAACAGGAGUC